GGGAUAACUUCGGGAAACCGAAGCUAAUACCGGAUAGGAUCUUCUCCUUCAUGGGAGAUGAUUGAAAGAUGGUUUCGGCUAUCACUUACAGAUGGGCCCGCGGUGCAUUAGCUAGUUGGUGAGGUAACGGCUCACCAAGGCAACGAUGCAUAGCCGACCUGAGAGGGUGAUCGGCCACACUGGGACUGAGACACGGCCCAGACUCCUACGGGAGGCAGCAGUAGGGAAUCUUCCGCAAUGGACGAAAGUCUGACGGAGCAACGCCGCGUGAGUGAUGAAGGCUUUCGGGUCGUAAAACUCUGUUGUUAGGGAAGAACAAGUACAAGAGUAACUGCUUGUACCUUGACGGUACCUAACCAGAAAGCCACGGCUAACUACGUGCCAGCAGCCGCGGUAAUACGUAGGUGGCAAGCGUUAUCCGGAAUUAUUGGGCGUAAAGCGCGCGCAGGCGGUUUCUUAAGUCUGAUGUGAAAGCCCACGGCUCAACCGUGGAGGGUCAUUGGAAACUGGGGAACUUGAGUGCAGAAGAGAAAAGCGGAAUUCCACGUGUAGCGGUGAAAUGCGUAGAGAUGUGGAGGAACACCAGUGGCGAAGGCGGCUUUUUGGUCUGUAACUGACGCUGAGGCGCGAAAGCGUGGGGGAGCAAACAGGAUUAGAUACCCUGGUAGUCC
Molecule: ribosomal RNA, 671 nt
Filed under: Priestia megaterium
Lineage: Bacteria; Bacillati; Bacillota; Bacilli; Caryophanales; Bacillaceae
Description: bacterial SSU rRNA
Rfam family: Bacterial small subunit ribosomal RNA
Source: RNAcentral